RNAcentral lists this ribosomal RNA (953 nucleotides) under uncultured archaeon. Its description in RNAcentral is "bacterial SSU rRNA". It matches the Rfam family "Archaeal small subunit ribosomal RNA", at positions 474 to 1429 of the family's 1478-position model. The record is from RNAcentral.
CACCCGCAGCUCUAGUGGUGGUCACUUUUAUUGAGCCUAAAGCGUUCGUAGCCGGUUCUGUAAAUCUUCAGAUAAAUUCAUUCGCUCAACGGAUGAUCUUCUGAAGAGACUGUAGAACUUGGGACCGGGUGAGGUUGAAUGUACUUCCGGGGUAGGGGUAAAAUCCUGUAAUCCUGGAAGGACAACCGGUGGCGAAGGCGUUCAACUAGAACGGAUCCGACGGUGAGGAACGAGGGCUAGGGGAGCAAACCGGAUUAGAUACCCGGGUAGUCCUAGCUGUAAACACUGCCCACUUGGUGUUGCCUCUCUGUUGAAGGGGGGCAGUACCGGAGCGAAGGUGUUAAGUGGGCCGCUUGGGGAGUAUGGUCGCAAGGCUGAAACUUAAAGGAAUUGGCGGGGGAGCACCGCAACGGGAGGAGCGUGCGGUUUAAUUGGAUUCAACGCCGGAAAACUCACCGGGAGCGACCUUUGGAUGAGAGUCAACUUGAUGAGUUUACUCGAUAGAAGGAGAGGUGGUGCAUGGCCGUCGUCAGCUCGUACCGUAGGGCGUUCACUUAAGUGUGAUAACGAGCGAGACCCCCAUCUCUAAUUGCCAGUAUGUCUUUGCGGACAUGCGCACUUUAGAGGGACCGCCAGCGCUAAGCUGGAGGAAGGAGGGGUCGACGGCAGGUCAGUACGCCCCGAAUCUCCCGGGCUACACGCGCGCUACAAAGGACAGGACAAUGAGUUGCAACCUCGAAAGGGGGAGCUAACCUCGAAACCUGUUCAUAGUUAGGAUUGAGGGCUGUAACUCGCCCUCAUGAAUGUGGAUUCCGUAGUAAUCGCGGGUCAACAGCCCGCGGUGAAUAUGCCCCUGCUCCUUGCACACACCGCCCGUCAAACCAUCCGAGCUGGUGUUGGAUGAGGGUAUGCCCGAGAGGACAAACUCGAAUCUGAUGUCAGUGAGGAGGGUU